Molecule: transfer RNA, 17 nt
Filed under: Elaphoglossum peltatum f. peltatum
Lineage: Eukaryota; Viridiplantae; Streptophyta; Polypodiopsida; Polypodiales; Dryopteridaceae
Description: partial tRNA-Ser
Source: RNAcentral
AGGAAAGGGAGGGAUUA